GCCUGUCACCAUUCCACCAGCCUCACAGCCUGCGGGUUAAGUGUAUAGACCCUGGAGCCCAAAUGCCUGGGUUCAAAUCCUGUGUGGCCUCGGGGUACAGGAAUACAGUGGGUGCUGCGGCGGAUGGCAGGAUGCAUGGAGUGAGACCCAGAGUGUCGAGAGAGGAAGGGGAGCCCGGAUGGAGAGGAAGAGACAACCCUUUAUCCUGGGAGGAAAGGACCUCUGAGCCAAGGUGGCAACAAGCAUUGGACCAUUGGAGCUACAGGGCAGAAAGAGGCAGGAACAGGGACCUGGUGGAAAGUUAAGCAAGAAAAUCCAAGCAGUAGGCCAGGCGCGGUGGCUCAUGCCUGUAAUCCCAGCACUUUAGGAGGCCGAG
Molecule: long non-coding RNA, 376 nt
Filed under: Gorilla gorilla gorilla (western lowland gorilla)
Lineage: Eukaryota; Metazoa; Chordata; Mammalia; Primates; Hominidae
Description: lncRNA (ENSGGOG00000044703.1)
Source: RNAcentral